Molecule: unclassified non-coding RNA, 227 nt
Filed under: Hevea brasiliensis (rubber tree)
Lineage: Eukaryota; Viridiplantae; Streptophyta; Magnoliopsida; Malpighiales; Euphorbiaceae
Source: RNAcentral
GUGGAAAUUUAUGGGAGAAAGGUACAGGCUUUUUCUUACGCAUACUGCUCAAAUACCUCCGAGCCUUUUCAUUUCUUAUCCUGGCAAUGGAUUCUGGGGAGGGUGUGCCCAACAGAUCGGUCAUCAAGUCUAAUUGGUGAACCACAUUUUUACCUGGAAAGAGAGGCUUCCCAGUCAGUAGUUCUGCAAAUAUACAUCCAAUGCUCCAUAUAUCAAUUGCUGGUGUA